CCCGCAAGGGAUCAGUAGAGUGGCAAACGGGUGAGUAACGCGUGGGCGACCUACCUUCGAGUGGGGGAUAACCUUCCGAAAGGAGGGCUAAUACCGCAUGACAUUCCGUGUUUGGACACACGGGUAUCAAAGCCGGGGAUCGCAAGACCUGGCGCUUGAAGAGGGGCCCGCGUCCGAUUAGCUAGUUGGUGGGGUAAUGGCUCACCAAGGCUCCGAUCGGUAUCCGGCCUGAGAGGGCGGACGGACACACUGGGACUGAGACACGGCCCAGACUCCUACGGGAGGCAGCAGUGGGGAAUUGUUCGCAAUGGGCGCAAGCCUGACGACGCAACGCCGCGUGGAGGAUGAAGACCUUCGGGUCGUAAACUCCUUUCGACCGAGAUGAAUUUCCGCCGGCCCAACACGUCGGCGGGGUGACAGUAUCGAGGGAAGCAGCCCCGGCUAACUCCGUGCCAGCAGCCGCGGUAAUACGGGGGGGGCAAGCGUUGUUCGGAAUUACUGGGCGUAAAGGGUCGGUAGGUGGCCCGCUAAGUCACACGUGAAAUCCCUCAGCUCAACUGGGGAACUGCGUGUGAGACUGGCAGGCUCGAGGGCAGGAGAGGAACGCGGAAUUCCAGGUGUAGCGGUGAAAUGCGUAGAUAUCUGGAGGAACACCGGUGGCGAAGGCGGCGUUCUGGACUGUCUCUGACACUGAACGACGAAAGCCAGGGGAGCAA
Molecule: ribosomal RNA, 716 nt
Filed under: uncultured Acidobacteriota bacterium
Lineage: Bacteria; Pseudomonadati; Acidobacteriota
Description: bacterial SSU rRNA
Rfam family: Bacterial small subunit ribosomal RNA
Source: RNAcentral